GAUGAACGCUGGCGGCGUGCCUAAUACAUGCAAGUCGAGCGAACAGACGAGGGGCUUGCUCCUCUGACGUUAGCGGCGGACGGGUGAGUAACACGUGGAUAACCUACCUAUAAGACUGGGAUAACUUCGGGAAACCGGAGCUAAUACCGGAUAAUAUAUUGAACCGCAUGGUUCAAUAGUGAAAGACGGUUUUGCUGUCACUUAUAGAUGGAUCCGCGCCGCAUUAGCUAGUUGGUAAGGUAACGGCUUACCAAGGCGACGAUGCGUAGCCGACCUGAGAGGGUGAUCGGCCACACUGGAACUGAGACACGGUCCAGACUCCUACGGGAGGCAGCAGUAGGGAAUCUUCCGCAAUGGGCAAAAGCCUGACGGAGCAACGCCGCGUGAGUGAUGAAGGUCUUCGGAUCGUAAAACUCUGUUAUUAGGGAAGAACAAAUGUGUAAGUAACUAUGCACGUCUUGACGGUACCUAAUCAGAAAGCCACGGCUAACUACGUG
Molecule: ribosomal RNA, 497 nt
Filed under: uncultured bacterium
Lineage: Bacteria
Description: partial 16S ribosomal RNA
Rfam family: Bacterial small subunit ribosomal RNA
Source: RNAcentral